Long non-coding RNA from Ruditapes philippinarum (Manila clam), 308 nucleotides. RefSeq lists it as uncharacterized. The transcript is spliced from 2 exons. The record is from RefSeq and is a predicted model, not a curated record. Lineage: Eukaryota; Metazoa; Mollusca; Bivalvia; Venerida; Veneridae.
GUCAUUGGAUAGGGCUAUCUGACGAAAUAGUUGAAGGCAUUUGGAAAUGGUAUAGCACUGAUAAAGUUACCAACUACACAGACUGGUAUCCGGGACAACCUGACCUUGGGUCCAGAGCAAAUUGUGCAAAUAUCUUAAGCAGUCCACCCUAUGCUUACCAAUGGCUGGAUGAUGAUUGCACAUAUAAAUUCCGACCAAUCUGUGAGAGAGGAUUAGACACGGAGACAUCAAUUGUCGGAAAGUGAUCUGUUUUAAGCUGUUUGUUUGGCUCAAAAAUAAUAAUGCAAUAAUAAAUAAAUUUGCAUCAG